CCUGAGAGGACUAUUUGAUGGCAGGACUUUGGACAUCUGGGAAACAGAUCCCAACUGACCUGUUUCAUCAGUUCUUGGGAAAUGACAAAGCAAAUGAGGCAAAAGAAAGCCAGGUCUUGCCAAUGCCCAUGUCCAUUAGAGAAGCAAUUACAGAAGCCAGAACUCCUACCUUCUGCAACCCGUAAACAGUCUUGAUCCAUACUCCCAUUGAGGAAGAAGUGGUAAGAGAAGGAGGAUAAGAGGGCCAUGAACUCCAGCCCCAUCAGGACCCAAAGAAAAAGGAGGAAGGAGUGAGAAAUGAAGGGACUCCUACAAGAUAAUUUCUACUGGUGGACAACAAUUUUGGACUACUAAAGUUAAUAACUCCACCAAGUUGCAGAUGCUUCCAUGAUGUCAACCUGACUUCCCUGAGCAGACAAACUCACCAAUGAGUCCUGGAACCCCAUCUCUCCAGAGCCCUACCCUACUAGGGAAAAAAAAGAAACAGGCUGGGAGUAUGGAUUGACCUGCCAAUGCCCAUAUUCAGCAGAGAAGCAAUUAAA
Erinaceus europaeus (western European hedgehog) is the source of this 542-nucleotide long non-coding RNA. RefSeq lists it as uncharacterized. The transcript has 3 exons. The record is from RefSeq and is a predicted model, not a curated record. NCBI's taxonomy places the organism in Eukaryota, Metazoa, Chordata, Mammalia, Eulipotyphla, Erinaceidae.